AGAGUUGUAGCUCAGUGGUAAAGCACUUGCCUGUUAUGUAUGAGGCCCUGGGUUCGAUCCUCAGCACCACAU
Ictidomys tridecemlineatus (thirteen-lined ground squirrel) is the source of this 72-nucleotide non-coding RNA. Lineage: Eukaryota; Metazoa; Chordata; Mammalia; Rodentia; Sciuridae. The record is from Rfam.